This 492-nucleotide unclassified non-coding RNA is filed under the name Zea mays. Its description in RNAcentral is "misc RNA Zm00001eb409990". The record is from RNAcentral. Lineage: Eukaryota; Viridiplantae; Streptophyta; Magnoliopsida; Poales; Poaceae.
CACCAUCAAAGGGAGGGGGCGCAGACGACGCAGGCGAGCAGAAGCAUGGCGGAGGAGGCGGCGUCGUCCUCCUCGCUGAAGCAGCUGCGCUUGAACCGGCACGCCUUGGCCUUGUUGAUCGGCAGCAGCCGACGCAGCACCAGCUCCUGCUGCUGCUGAUGAUGAUGGCGACGAUCCCGCCACCGCCCCCCGCUGCUGCCUCCCGCCGCGGCCGGCUGGUCCGCCACCCGGCUCCACCCUUCGCCUGCCCGAUCGCCGGCUGCAGCCGGCCGCUGAACCAUCUUUUGUUUGCUAGUACGAUGGUUCAAGAACUAGCUUAUUAGCUUAUGAGAUGGUGAACGAUCCUGGGAUGAUCGAGUGGAGUGGAGAGACAUGGCCAUAUGGUGAGGCGAGGUCUAUCUAUUUAUAGGCGGCCGGGGUUGGCGUCCGCCGGCCGGCGCGGUCUCGUAUGCCAUGCCAUGUGCUGUGCCGUGGCCCAUGCUGCGAUUCUUG